This 2262-nucleotide long non-coding RNA is filed under the name Salmo salar (Atlantic salmon). RNAcentral's name for it is "lncRNA (ENSSSAG00000102596.1)". Lineage: Eukaryota; Metazoa; Chordata; Actinopteri; Salmoniformes; Salmonidae. The record is from RNAcentral.
CCUUACAGGAAGUGGCCUGUCUGACCAUUUCUUGCCCUCCUUGAUCAUCUCUAACAAAUACAGGGGAUCUCUGGCAUGACGUGACACUUCCUACGGCUCCCAUGGGCUCUCAGAAGGCGGGAAAAAGCUGAACGAUGUAAUUCCAUCCCCAGGCUGAAACACAUUAGCGCGUUUGGCAAGUGCUCUAUCAGAGGGCCAUUAGACUGAGGCUCGUGCAUGAGGGGAUAGCAUGCUUUUACUUUCACUCUCUUUGUAAUAAAAAACGAUUUCCUGGUCAGAAUAUUAUCGCUUUUUUACGAGAAAAAUGGCAUAAAAAUAGAUUUUAAACAGCGGUUGACAUGCUUCGAAGAACGGUAAUGGAAUAUUUAGAAUUUUUUUGUCACGAAAUGCGCCAUGCUCGUCACCCUUCUUUACCCUUCGGAUAGUGUCUUGAACGCACGAACAAAACGCCGCUAUUUGGAUAUAACAAUGGAUUAUUUGGGACCAAACCAACAUUUGUUAUUGAAGUAGAAGUCCUGGGAGUGCAUUCUGACGAAGAACAGCAAAGGUCUUUAAGGGGUGUUAGACUCCCAAACGGGCCACCUAGAUAGUCCCAUAGGGCCCUGGUCAAAAGCAGUGAACUAUAUAGAGAACAAGGGUGCCAUUUGGGAUUCACUUCGUCUCCUGACUGUCUGUCGGUGACAAGGUGACUUUCACUCACAUUCAGAUGUUGUUCUAAUUGGAUGGAUUGUGGCAAACCAGGAACCAUUUUGUCUAUUGGAUUUUAAUUUGUUUACUGAAGACAAGAGUACUUGUAAAAAUGAUGAUUGUGCCUGAAUUAGAUUUAGACGUUUUAAAAAAUAAAUAAUUCUGAAUUAACUGUUCCCAUUUCUCUCAAGGAAUGGCCUUGAGGUUUCCGUUUGCUUCACCAAGUUGAUGUUAAACCAAAACUCAUCAGAUCUUCUAACUCACAGAGAGGAGAUGAGAGGACCACAGGACUUCUCUUCCCUCUAAUCAAGAGGAGAUGAGAGGACCACAGGACUUCCUUCUCUUCCCUCUAAUCAAGAGGAGAUGAGAGGACCACAGGACUUCCUUCUCUUCCCUCUAAUCAAGAGGAGAUGAGAGGACCACAGGACUUCACUUCCCUCUAAUCAAGAGGAGAUGAGAGGACCACAGGACUUCACUUCCCUCUAAUCAAGAGGAGAUGAGAGGACCACAGGACUUCCUUCUCUUCCCUCUAAUCAAGAGGAGAUGAGAGGACCACAGGACUUCACUUCCCUCUAAUCAAGAGGAGAUGAGAGGACCACAGGACUUCCUUCUCUUCCCUCUAAUCAAGAGGAGAUGAGAGGACCACAGGACUUCUCUUCCCUCUAAUCAAGAGGAGAUGAGAGGACCACAGGACUUCACUUCCCUCUAAUCAAGAGGAGAUGAGAGGACCACAGGACUUCUCUUCCCUCUAAUCAAGAGGAGAUGAGAGGACUACAGGACUUCACUUCCCUCUAAUCAAGAGGAGAUGAGAGGACCACAGGACUUCACUUCCCUCUAAUCAAGAGGAGAUGAGAGGACCACAGGACUUCACUUCCCUCUAAUCAAGAGGAGAUGAGAGGACCACAGGACUUCACUUCCCUCUAAUCAAGAGGAGAUGAGAGGACCACAGGACUUCACUUCCCUCUAAUCAAGAGGACAUGAGAGGACCACAGGCUUUACAGUCUCUGUACUAUCCUGUCCCGAGAGACCAGAUCUGUCUGAGGCAAUCCAUGGAAGACAAGUUCAGACUUAGGUGUGUGUGUGUGUGUGUGUGUUUGUCAUCCAGGUCACUCACCUCUAUUACUGGUCAAAGGGUUUCAAUUAUUGCUUCCUGGUUGGUUAAAAAUAGUUGGAGGGAGAGGAGAAGAGAUCUCUCUUUAACCAACCAGGAAGCCAUAAUUGAAAAAGAGAGAGGGGAAUAGAGAGAGAGAGGGGAAGAGAGGGGAAGAGAGGAGGAGAGAAGUAGAGAGAGGGAGACAGGAGGAGAGAAGUAGAGAGAGAGAUAGGGAGACAGGAUGAGAGAAGUAGAGAGAUAGAGGGAGACAGGAUGAGAGAAGUAGAGAGAUAGAGAGAGACAGGAUGAGAGAAGUAGAGCGAUAGAGAGAGACAGGAUGAGAGAAGUAGAGCGAUAGAGAGAGACAGGAUGAGAGAAGUAGAGAGAUAGAGAGAGACAGGAUGAGAGAAGUAGAGCGAUAGAGAGAGACAGGAUGAGAGAAGUAGAGCGAUAGAGAGAGACAGGAUGAGAGAAGUAGAGCG